Long non-coding RNA from Mesitornis unicolor (brown roatelo), 515 nucleotides. RefSeq lists it as uncharacterized. Lineage: Eukaryota; Metazoa; Chordata; Aves; Mesitornithiformes; Mesitornithidae. The record is from RefSeq and is a predicted model, not a curated record. The transcript has 4 exons.
AGGUAAAAUUUGGUAAUACAACAUUUAAGACAGAUGUGUAUCCCAAAUCACUUAAUCCUCAGUGGAAUUCUGAGUGGUUCAAAUUUGAAGUAGAUGAUGAAGAGCUGCAAGAUGAGCCUCUUCAAAUCACAGUUCUUGAUCAUGAUACCUACAGUGCUAAUGAUGCCAUUGGCAAAGUGUACAUAGAUAUUGAUCCUUUGCUCUAUAGUGAAGCAGCUACAGUUAUUUCAGGAUGGUUUCCUAUUUAUGAUACCAUUCAUGGUAUACGUGGGGAGAUCAAUGUGGUAGUGAAAGUAGACCUCUUCAAUGAUUUAAACAGAUUUAGGCAGUCAUCCUGUGGAGUCAAGUUUUUUUGCACUACAUCUAUUCCCAAGUGUUACAGAGCAGUAAUAAUUCAUGGAUUUGUGGAAGAACUUGUAGUUAAUGAAGACCCAGAAUACCAGUGGAUAGACCGAAUUCGUACACCAAGGGCAUCAAAUGAGGCUAGACAAAGACUUAUUUCACUCAUGUCAGGU